AACAAAACUCAAGCCUGGCUUGGUAUUGGGCCUUUGAGACAAGUUCGGGCCCCAAAUUCGUUGGCUAUUAAUUAGUAAAUGGGAGGUCCUAUAGCAUGGCGCCGUAAUUAUCGACAAAUUCUUACUGGCGCGUAGUUUGUCCCGCCCUGCCUUGCGCGUUCGCAUCGGUGACUCGGACCGAACAGAAGU
RNAcentral lists this unclassified non-coding RNA (189 nucleotides) under uncultured Dothideomycetes. RNAcentral describes it as "sequence contains ITS2". Lineage: Eukaryota; Fungi; Ascomycota; Dothideomycetes. The record is from RNAcentral.